UACUGACUUCAAUGUUAUUAGGAUUCCUUGAUGCCAGACUCAGUCAAAUGCUGUCUUUAUGGCAGAGGGACUCACUCUCACCACAUCUUCAGAAUCCAGCUCUUUGAUAAAUAUUUAAUUGACUACCAAGACUAAAAUGGAUCAAAGGAGAAAAUGCUUACCAUCAUCUAUACCAAGAACAGCAAAUUACAGCAGCAAUGUCCAAGCCUAGGGAAACUAUUCUGACUUUCCUUCUUCAGCAAGAACAAAAGAAGCUGAGCCACAUGAACAGAAAUUCUGCAUGCAAAUGUGGAAAAGAAAACUAAGUUGAAAAUACUAAAAUGCCUCUGUAUCAGUUACCAUUAUUGUCAAUGGAAUUUUUUUCAAGUGAGGAAGACAAGUCCAUUGUUAUCCUUGCUACAAUGAAUUACAGGAAGGGAAUAAUCAGCACAGGCUUUACGUCAUGUCCUUACAGUUCUCUAAAAGGUGAAGGAGAUGUGGCAUUUUGCCUUUCCAUGUCUAACUUCCGUUAACUAUGUAGACUGGGGAGUGGAGGUCUGACUUCAUAGUUUUUAAAAUUCUAGCUUUGUUCAGGAUGUUCAAAGUGAACUGAGUGACAUUGUAACUGUGCUAUUGGCAUUUUAGCUUUCAAUAGCAAAUCGAGGAUUUUUUGUAGGACCUGGCUACAGUCAGAACAAUCAAUACAAGAUUUAAACAAACAACGUUAAGUUUCGGAACUGAAUUUUGUCAUCACUUCAAGGUUGUAACAACCAAUCAGCAAGCACUCCAGAGAUAAAGACAAUGAAACAUUUUGGGCCUCAAGCAGUCAUAGCCGAAGAAAGCAGAUGAAUUGAUGGAAUAUAAUAAUUCAGUUUCUUAGAAUACUAUUACUUUUGACAACUUGCUACACAAGCUGUAUAAACACUGAAUAGAUUCUUAAAAACUUAAUCUGUGCUUGACAACCAGCUACUUCUACUUUCAGGGAAGAGAGAAAAUGCUGCUCUUUUGGCUAUUUCCAUCAAUCAGAUUGAAACUGGUGUACUCUAAACAGCAUUACAAAAAUUGUCUGUCUCUGGUUCUACAACAAUUGGUAUUCAUACUGUAAAGGUGCUUCUCCAGCAGCUUGUCAAACAUAAUUGGAAAUUGAGACACAAAAAAAAUGACAAAGCUUGGUCAGAGCGGUCAGCUUUAGGAACCACUGAAAGCACAGAAGCUUUGGGAGGAAAUUCCAGAGCUUAAGGCCUCAGUGUUCUUUAAAUUUAUUCACAGGAUGUGGGAAUUACUGGCUAGGCCAGCAUUUAU
Rhincodon typus (whale shark) is the source of this 1281-nucleotide long non-coding RNA. RefSeq lists it as uncharacterized. NCBI's taxonomy places the organism in Eukaryota, Metazoa, Chordata, Chondrichthyes, Orectolobiformes, Rhincodontidae. The transcript has 3 exons. The record is from RefSeq and is a predicted model, not a curated record.